Long non-coding RNA from Oncorhynchus tshawytscha (Chinook salmon), 519 nucleotides. The record is from Ensembl. Lineage: Eukaryota; Metazoa; Chordata; Actinopteri; Salmoniformes; Salmonidae.
GCAGGGUGAGGUAGGACUAGACAGGGCAGGGUGAGGUAGGACUAGACAGGGCAGGGUGAGGUAGGACUAGACAGGGUGAGGUAGGACUAGACAGGGCAGGGUGAGGUAGGACUAGACAGGGCAGGGUGAGGUAGGACUAGACAGGGCAGGGUGAGGUAGGACUAGACAGGGUGAGGUAGGACUAGACAGGACAGGGUGAGGUUGGACUAGACAGGGCUGGGUGAGAAAUGGUAGGGCUAGACAGGGCAGGGCAGGGUUGUGCUAGACAGGGCAGGGUGAGGUAGUGCUAGACAGGGCAGGGUGAGGUAGGGCUAGACAGGGCAGGGUUGUGCUAGACAGGGCAGGGUGAGGUAGGGCUGUGUGUGAAGCGUUCCCCUCUCUUGGGCUGUGUCUUGUGGAGAGCUGCCCCUCCCGAACAGUCCCCAUGGACAUCCCUGUCUGUCUCGACUCACAAAGCCUCUCAAUGAUUUCCUGUCUACUGCUGGCAAUCGAGACGCCCUCCCCCUCCCUUCCAUCACC